UACGGAGGGCGCAAGCGUUAAUCGGAAUCACUGGGCGUAAAGCGUGCGUAGGCUGCUUGAUAAGUCAGACGUGAAAUCCCUCGGCUCAACCGGGGAACUGCGUUUGAUACUGUUGAGCUAGAGUCCUGGAGAGGGUGGCGGAAUUCCUGGUGUAGGAGUGAAAUCCGUAGAUAUCAGGAGGAACACCGGUGGCGAAGGCGGCCACCUGGACAGGUACUGACGCUGAGGUACGAAAGCGUGGGGAGCAAACAGG
RNAcentral lists this ribosomal RNA (253 nucleotides) under uncultured bacterium. RNAcentral's name for it is "partial 16S ribosomal RNA". It matches the Rfam family "Bacterial small subunit ribosomal RNA", at positions 524 to 776 of the family's 1533-position model. The record is from RNAcentral.